Molecule: ribosomal RNA, 125 nt
Filed under: Alteribacillus persepolensis
Lineage: Bacteria; Bacillati; Bacillota; Bacilli; Caryophanales; Bacillaceae
Description: Bacillus sp. HS-136 Bacterial large subunit ribosomal RNA
Rfam family: Bacterial large subunit ribosomal RNA
Source: Rfam by way of RNAcentral
AGAUGAGAUUUCCCAUAGCGCCAAGCUAGUAAGACCCCUUGCAGAUGACAAGGUUGAUAGGUCUGAGGUGGAAGCGUGGUGACACGUGGAGCUGACAGAUACUAAUCGGUCGAGGGCUUAUCCAA